AUUGAACGCUGGCGGCAGGCUUAACACAUGCAAGUCGAGCGGGGUGAUGGUGCUUGCACUGUCACUUAGCGGCGGACGGGUGAGUAAUGCUUAGGAAUCUGCCUAUUAGUGGGGGACAACAUCUCGAAAGGGAUGCUAAUACCGCAUACGUCCUACGGGAGAAAGCAGGGGAUCACUUGUGACCUUUCGCUAAUAGAUGAGCCUAAGUCGGAUUAGCUAGUUGGUGGGGUAAAGGCCUACCAAGGCGACGAUCUGUAGCGGGUCUGAGAGGAUGAUCCGCCACACUGGGACUGAGACACGGCCCAGACUCCUACGGGAGGCAGCAGUGGGGAAUAUUGGACAAUGGGGGGAACCCUGAUCCAGCCAUGCCGCGUGUGUGAAGAAGGCCUUAUGGUUGUAAAGCACUUUAAGCGAGGAGGGGGCUCUUUUGGUUAAUACCCAAGAUGAGUGGACGUUACUCGCAGAAUAAGCACCGGCUAACUCUGUGCCAGCAGCCGCCGUAA
Molecule: ribosomal RNA, 503 nt
Filed under: uncultured bacterium
Lineage: Bacteria
Description: partial 16S ribosomal RNA
Rfam family: Bacterial small subunit ribosomal RNA
Source: RNAcentral